GCCUUCUUGGCGCAGUUGGCAGAGCGUCCCUAGUGGAAGGAGAAGGUAACCAGUUCAGUUCUGGUAGAAGGCA
This is a non-coding RNA of Zopfochytrium polystomum, 73 nucleotides long. Lineage: Eukaryota; Fungi; Chytridiomycota; Chytridiomycetes; Chytridiales; Chytridiaceae. The record is from the annotation of a GenBank genome assembly.